GGGCGCGUAGCUCAGCUUGGUAGAGCAUUCGCAUGGCAUGCGAGGGGCCUCGGGUUCAAAUCCCGACGCGUCCA
RNAcentral lists this transfer RNA (74 nucleotides) under Candidatus Woesearchaeota archaeon. RNAcentral's name for it is "tRNA-Ala". It matches the Rfam family "tRNA". From Rfam's summary of the family: Transfer RNA (tRNA) molecules are approximately 80 nucleotides in length. Their secondary structure includes four short double-helical elements and three loops (D, anti-codon, and T loops). Further hydrogen bonds mediate the characteristic L-shaped molecular structure. tRNAs have two regions of fundamental functional importance: the anti-codon, which is responsible for specific mRNA codon recognition, and the 3' end, to which the tRNAs corresponding amino acid is attached (by aminoacyl-tRNA synthetases). tRNAs cope with the degeneracy of the genetic code in two manners: having more than one tRNA (with a specific anti-codon) for a particular amino acid; and 'wobble' base-pairing, i.e. permitting non-standard base-pairing at the 3rd anti-codon position. The record is from RNAcentral. Lineage: Archaea; Nanobdellati; Candidatus Woesearchaeota.